Molecule: long non-coding RNA, 1109 nt
Filed under: Homo sapiens (human)
Lineage: Eukaryota; Metazoa; Chordata; Mammalia; Primates; Hominidae
Description: HSALNT0075311
Source: RNAcentral
GGACCGCAGGCGAGAGGGAGAAGGAAGGGCGCCCGGGGAGCAGGCUGGCAGAGUGACCGGGAUUGAUGAGCGGCGCAGCUCUGGAGGGACGCGGGCGAGAGGGUCGCUCCUCGGGGAGAGGGCUGGUUUUGCCUUUUCCGGAAUGCCAUAUAUAAGGAAUCAUACAGUAUGCAGUCUUUCUUUCAAUUUUGCUGUGAAACUAAAACUGCUAAGAAAAUAAAGUCUUAAAAAGAAAAAUCAAUGGAGAAGGGAAAGCUCUACCACCCUCUGAUUUUUUUUAACAGCCUAUGAUAAGAGGAGAUGAAUGCCUGCUAAAGCGACCAGAAGGCUCUCAGUAAAAAGUAUUCACUAGGUAUCAAUAGAAUCUGCAAAACGAAGAGGUGCUUGAAAGAUGUGAAAGAGGAAACUUAAAGAGAAACCCAGAUGGUACAUCUCUCUUCCUGGCUAGAUAGAUGGAAUGUACAGCCAGAGGAUUGGAUGAGGUCAUCGACGGAGAGAAUGCAGAGAGAAUCCUGGGGCUCACCAACAUGAAGAAUUUGGGACAAGAAAGAAGAUCCAGCAGAGAAGACUGAAAGAAGGCAACUAAUGAAAUAGGAGAGAACCUGGAGAGCACAGAGUCUUAGAGGCCAAGAAAGUGGUUUAAUAUAAUCCGUAUCAAAGCAUUUGUGGUUUAUUUUUGUUAACUGACAAAAGGAUUCUAAAACAUACCUGAAAAGUAUAAUUCACACCUAGGAUAAUGGAUCAUUCUGUCACAUUGUUCCUUUUUCACAGCUGAUAUGAACAUGAUAUUUUCAUGACUUUGUAAAAUAAAAAUGGAAUCUUUCUAAUUUUUUUAAAAAAACUGCUUACUUAUGCAAGCCUUCUGUCUCUCACUGUAUAACCCCUCCACUUUUAUACGGGUCACACAUGUUUCUGUCACUUUCCUGGAGCCCUUGUAGCAAAUUAAUAACAUGUAGCACAUGCUUGAAGAAAAAUUUGUCUAGGACAUUUUGUUUUUGAGAUUCAUAAAUUGACUCUAUUUUACAUAAGAAUCUAUUAUGCCAUAGGAAGCUUAUUAAACCCUUGAGCAGGAACAAAUUAUUCAAUAAAUGGUGAUGAGAUGAAUGCCU